CUUUAUAUAUAGCCUAAAAAUAUUCCGCCAAGCAAAACACCGAACCCCAACACCAACACCAGAUAGACGAUGGGCACCAUACUCAUCGCCAUGUCUUUUCUGCUGGUGUUCUCAGCGGCUGCGCCGCAAGCAUCAGCCGCAGCCGCCGGAGGGAUAUUGCAGAUUCCUUCUAGUGACUCCUUGGCUCACUGCAUCCCAAGGUGCGGGGACGUCGAUAUCUUCUAUCCCUUCGGUAUAGGGCCCGGCUGCUUCCGUCAAGGUUUCGAUCUCACCUGCAACCACUCCACCAAGCAUCCCAAGCUCUUUUUAGGCAGCAGCACUGUCCCGGUUACUGACAUGUACUACGACUAUGCUUCUACCCCUAUAAACAUCAAGCUUGCAACAAGGCCAGGUACAGAUACCUACAACAUGUCAUGGGAGGCCCCUUCUAAAGGUAUUACUAUCAGCAGUGAUAAUACUUUGUACGUAGUUGGUUGUGAUUUUGACUUCACCUUGUUCGAGCAUGGUACGGGAGACUUGGUUAGUUCUCGUAUGAGUAGAUGCGCCGGCGAGAAGGCAGCAACUGGAGGAUUUUGUAAUGGGAUAGGUUGCUGCCUCAUCCCGUUACCAAGGGACCUGCAAGGCUUUCAGGCAGAACUUGUCAGCACUAAUAUAACUGCAACCCAAUCAGAUUGGUUGCACCCUGGUAUCAUGGCUGUCGUGUCACGGGCUGAUUAUUACAUGUAUAAUACAACCAAUAUUUUCUCAAGUUGGACAGAUGCAAGCAAUAUAGAUGAUGCGAUGCUUAGUGUUACCAUCAUGGACCAACCAAGCUGUCAAAGUCCACAAAUGAACAAUGCAAGCUAUGCCUGUAGCAACGAUAGCAGUUGCCAAAAUUCCUCAUCUGGUCGUGGUUACGGGUGUUACUGCUCUCCUUAUGAACAAGGCAACCCUUACAUUUUAGAUGGAUGCCUGGAAGGUACUUCCAUCCCUACUUUUUCUCCAAAAUGAUUUAAAAUUCCCUUCUAUUUAGCCUUCAUCCUCUUGGUCUUACUAUUUGUGUCUAUCUACUGUGAAGCGGAUUAUAACCCCAAGCCCAAAGAACACUGUCCCCCAUCAUGUGGACGCAUUACUGUUCCCUUCCCCUUUGGGCUCGAAGAAGGGUGUUUCGCAAAUGAAGAAUUGCAUCUUAAUUGUACAUCUGGUAAUCUCACAGAUUUCGUCUCAGAAGAUACACAAUAUCAUGUGACUGAUGUAUCCGUGGAAGAUGGGACUCUGACUGUUAGCAACAGGGUGAACAGCAGUAAUGACAAUAAUGGAUAUGUAUUGGAGGCCCCUAUGCAAAAUCGAUUAGAUUUCUCUAUGAAAUACGACAUUGUUAUAAAGUGGGUGAUUUCCAAUUUAACUUGUCAAACAGCUAUGCGAAAGGAUACUAUGUAUGCAUGCCGCAGUUCCAACAGCUAUUGCCUAAAUGUCACUGACGGGGAAAUAUUUAUGGGAUACCGUUGCAAGUGUUCGUCAGGCUUUCAAGGAAAUCCAUACGUCAAGGAUGGCUGCACAGACAUCGAUGAAUGUGGACUAUCAAACUAUUGCAAUGGGACAUGUCAAAAUUUUCCCGGAGGCUACAACUGCACGAGUUGCCUUCAUGGAAAAGAGUUUGAUCCCAUAAAAAGGCAGUGUGUUACAUCAACAAAGGAACACAAUCUUCUUUUGGGCAUCACAAUUGGAACUGGAUGUGGCCUUGGCUCCAUAAUUAUUGCAGUUUGUGUAUUUGUAUUCGCCAACAAGUGGAAGAAAGGCAUCCAGAAGAGAAUCCGACGAGCACACUUCAAGAAAAAUCAAGGCCUACUCUUGGAGCAGCUGAUCUCAGAUGAAAGCGCCACAAACAAAACAAAGAUAUUCUCCUUGGAGGAACUAGAGAAGGCAACCAACAACUUCGAUGCCACUCGUGUUCUUGGUCGUGGUGGACAUGGGACAGUUUAUAAAGGGAUCCUAUCUGACCAACGGGUGGUGGCUAUUAAAAAAUCCAAAAUUGUGGAGCAAACUGAGAUAGACCAGUUUAUCAAUGAGGUUGCUAUCUUGUCUCAAAUCAUUCACCGCAAUGUCGUCAAGCUAUUUGGUUGUUGCCUUGAAUCUGAGGUGCCUUUGCUGGUUUACGAGUUCAUAUCUAAUGGUACACUACACGACCUUCUUCAUAUUGAUGUUAGUCUCGAAUGCUUGUUGUCUUGGGAUGAUCGCAUUAGGAUUGCAGUAGAAGCAGCAGGGGCACUUGCUUAUCUACACUCAGCUGCUGCAAUACCAAUUUUCCAUAGAGACGUGAAAUCUUCUAACAUACUGUUGGAUAGCAGCUUCGCUACAAAGGUUUCCGACUUUGGUGCUUCAAGGUCUCUCUCACUCGAUGAGACUCAUGUGGUUACUAUUGUCCAAGGAACAUUUGGUUACCUAGAUCCAAAGCUAACUGAAAAGAGUGAUGUGUAUAGUUUUGGAGUAAUACUUGUUGAACUUCUGAUAAGAAAAAAGCCAUUUUUUAUCAAUGAUCUUGGUGCAAAACAAAACGUGUCCCAUUAUUUCGUGGAAGGAUUGCAAGAGGGAGCUAUCAUGGAAAUAAUGGAUCCUCAGGUUGUCAAAGAGGCAAACCGAGAAGAGAUUGAUGAUAUUUGCUCACUUGCAGAAGCAUGCUUGAGACUCAAAGGAAGAGACAGACCUACUAUGAAAGAAGUAGAUAUGAGGUUGCAAUUCCUGACAACAAAAAGGCUAAGAAAAUGCAAAAUUCUCCCAGCUAAAGAUGAAGAGAUUGAGCCUUUUUUAUGCCCACAGGUUGGUAAUUCCGAUGCACCAAUGAAUGUUGUCAAUGCUGGCAAUUCAACAUCAAAAGGCAUCUCUAGUUGCUACAGUCUAGAGCAAGAACUUCCAUCCUCGGUCACUUUGCCACGCUAAGUAUAUAUGCGCAACAGCAAAUCAUGUCGUUCGUAGUAUUCAUUUGAAUUACCAUUUAUUUUCUACGGACUCAUAUUAUGUUACAUAGUUCACUUGAGACGAGAGUAUGUCAUGUAGCUCUGCUUCCUGUAUUGUUGCAAAUAUUUUUUUUGAAACAAGGCAAAAGAUUUGCCAUCUUCAUUGAUUAAGGAAGAAGGUUUAAG
This 3119-nucleotide ribosomal RNA is filed under the name Triticum aestivum (bread wheat). Its description in RNAcentral is "partial small subunit ribosomal RNA". Lineage: Eukaryota; Viridiplantae; Streptophyta; Magnoliopsida; Poales; Poaceae. The record is from RNAcentral.